This 2589-nucleotide long non-coding RNA is filed under the name Gallus gallus (chicken). RNAcentral describes it as "lncRNA (ENSGALG00010003792.1)". The record is from RNAcentral. Lineage: Eukaryota; Metazoa; Chordata; Aves; Galliformes; Phasianidae.
CUUCACCAUCAUGACCAUUAAACCAAGAAGUGGGCUGCAGGAAGCACCAGUUCUGUUCAGACAUCAGGGAGGGAACACAGGAAUUGAGGAAGGGGAGAUGGAGGGUCUUGAGGUCAGUUCUCAGAAGACAAGAAUAUGAGGAGGUGCUAGGAGGAGCCUUCGGGGUGAUAGCGGUGCAAUGGCAAGGAGAGGAAUGUCCAUCAGCAUCAAGGUUUCUCAGGAGGCAGAGCACAGUGUGCCCUCAUUUCCCCCUGAAGCCCUACAGGACGUUGCCCUGUAGCAAUGCUUCACACAGACCGCUCCUGGACUGGCACUACAGCCCUGCAGAGAGCUUAGCUGGAGAAACACAGCCCUGAUCAGCCUAUCCAUGGCCUCGUGGAUGGAGGCUUAUUUUUCAGGCAAGGUUUCCCUGCCUGUGUGAGAACCAUGGGAUGCCCCGGAUACCAAAAGCCCAAGAGGAGGGGGGUGAGGAUGAAGGCUAAGAUCCAAAACCCAGGAGGACUUUCACCUGCUCCAGCCUGUGCAAGGCUUUGACCACAGGAAUAUGACCGUGGAGGUGACAUUUACAUUUAAACACAGAUAGCUUGUUUGCAGGUAGCUGAAACAAAAUCUCCUGCCACAGCCCUGACCUGUAUCCCCGAACAAAGCAUCCCUUAUUCAGUGGAUAAGCAAAGGGGAACAUCGGUUUUCAGAUUAUCUGCAUCCCAGCGUUCCCUCGGAGGGGGACAUGGCGAUGGAAGGUCUCUGUUCGGUGACCCAACAACAGGGCCUUUAUUGCCAGGCAGGGAUGAAAGGCCCAUCACAGCUGCUGGCUCAGCCCGUCCGUGACAGAGCGUGUUUGCACAAACAAUGCUGAAAUUAAAGCCCCCGAGUUCAAAACCUCAUUGUCUGAAAAGCACUUCAUGAAUCCAUCCCCCUCCUUUUCUAAUAAAAAAGGGGUGCGUUUUCUUCCUGCCGCGACAGAAGGUAGUUCUACAUCAUGCUGGUCCUACAAGUGUUGGUAAAUUGCUUUUUGAUGGGUGAAGCAAAGCGUGUGUGGGGUGCCCAUGGACUGGCUGGUGGUGAGUGAGAGUGGUGGUGAAUGGAGCUCCUUCCAGUUGGUGACUGGUCAUGAGUGGUGUUCCCCAGGGGUCGGUGCUGGGGCCCGUGCUCUUCAGUAUCUCUACUGAUGGCCUGGAUGAGGGCACUGAGUGCACCCUCAGUACGUUUGCAGAUGGAUGACACCAAGCUGGGGAAAGUGUGGGUCUUCCUGGGGUUAGGAAGGCCCUACGGAGGGAUCUGGGCAGGCUGAUCACUGGGCUGAGGCCAAUGGGAUGGAGUUCAAGAAGAUCGAGUGCCGGGUCCUGUGCUUUGGCCACAGCAACCCCAUGCAAUGCUGCAGGUGUGGGAAGCUGUGGGAGGAAAAGGAGCCGGGGCUUAUCUGCCCUAUCAGGAUCUGAAUGUAAGAUAUGGGAAAGACAAAGUCCUCCUUGCAGAACUAGCCAGCUCCUGGGCUCACGGAGAAGAUUCCGAGCAGAGCAGAGGGAUAAGAAUAAGAAUUGGUUUUUCCCAAAGGCAAAAUGAGUCGAAGGUCAGAGCUACCCCACGUGCUGCCCAUCCCUGCCUGGAGCAGCUCAAGAUUUCUGGCCCCAGAUCUUCCAAGGAGAUUUUUACCAGGCAGUUCAUAGUGUCACAUCAAGAGCUGAGACCACCCAGCUCUUCCCGAUGCUCUGUUUGUGGUCUCUCAUCACCAAAGUGCCAUGCUCACAGCCCAGAUGGGUUUACGUCUGUUUUAGAGCCCAGAGGCCAGAGUGAUCUCCCAGAAGAAAUCUAAGCAGGGUGUGAAAUAACAGGAGGAUGCAAAGAGCCUGGACAAAGGAUGUCAUUCUGCAAGCCAAGCUGUAUUGGCAGAGCUCCUGCUACCUCUUCAUGGUCACCAGCAGGGAAAUGGACCCACUUGACUGGCUGCACUGGUUGGGCCAGGAUUAGCUGCAAAAGCUUCUUGUCCCUGGGCUCCCAUGGUGCCGGGGCAGGGCAAAACCCAAAUUAACUUCAGCAAUAAGCAAACAAAUCCCUAACGAUGGAGGAGGGGCAGGGCUGGGUGCACAGCUGGGCAGAGCAAAGAUGACUUCUCAACCUGUGGUCAGAGCAGGGCUGGGUACAGCAUCAUCAGAGCAUCCUGUAUUCCUAAUGCAGGAGCACGGGCUGCACCCUGGCUGUGGGGCGAGACGGUGUCCUAUUAAUUGAUUUUGCCAACCUCAGAAGUUGAAAAGCAUUUUGCCUUCAUCCUCUGGAAUGCAAAACGCAUCCUCUUCCUCUCCAACCACGGUGGGCUCCACGGAGCAGAGAGCUGAUUCGUUUAGUUAAAACAGAUUAAAAUAGCUCGAGGAUCUUCAUGUUCAGUGAGCAAUGCUGGGGACAAGCAGGAGGACGCUGCAGGCACACUCCAUACAUCGUGCCAGUAAGUCCAAACCAUCUCCCCAGCAAGGUUUGGACUCACCCAAAAGACAGUGGAGCCCAUGUAAAAAUCCUCCCUUCAAUCCAGGUUUUUAAAACCCCCAAAGAGCCCAUUUGGACCCAUUUCAUGAGCUGUCUCACAGCAGAGGGUGG